Molecule: transfer RNA, 94 nt
Filed under: Streptomyces albiflavescens
Lineage: Bacteria; Bacillati; Actinomycetota; Actinomycetes; Kitasatosporales; Streptomycetaceae
Description: tRNA-Arg
Source: RNAcentral
CCGGCGGCUGGGACGGGCCCGCCGUCCUCGCGGGGCUUCGGGCCCUGGGGCAACUCGUGGUCGUACGACCGGAGUUCGAGACGGAGCUGCCGCA